Molecule: long non-coding RNA, 2261 nt
Organism: Haliaeetus leucocephalus (bald eagle)
Lineage: Eukaryota; Metazoa; Chordata; Aves; Accipitriformes; Accipitridae
Exons: 4
Source: RefSeq, a predicted model, not a curated record
AGUAUCUUUUCUGUUCUUUUCCAACAUAGCUGCACAGGCACGCUGGGCUGGAGAACUCGCUGUUUUUUCCCUUCGACGAAUAGGCAAAGUGGCCUCCAUAUUUGCAGAAAAUGCUGUUAACUAUUGCAAAGGGAAAAGUUAAAGGCUGGGAGCGGCGGAGGGAGCUGGGAGCGAGCGGGGAAUGUGCAGCCUGCAAAACUUCAGCUGCCGCUAGACACGGCAUUCCUGCAUUUGCUUAAUCAACAUUUGCUUUUGGCUUGUGCUGGAGCAACACAGAAGAAAAACAAAUUCCUUGGGAUAAAAGCAGCUCUCUGCCGCGGUAUUAGAAGCACAAAGGUGUCGGCAACACGGCAUAGAUGAGAUUUGUUUAACACUCCUCGAGCCUUUUAAACCACAAAUUAAUGAACUUCAGACCGAUGCAAUAUUGAUGAAAUGGUUCCCCAGCUGGCCCCACGUACAGAAGAUGCAGGACGCCACAUCCCCGCACACCCCAGGGUCUCGCCCCUGCCGCACGUCUCCUUUCUAGGCUCCAUCAGCUGGGGCUGCAUCGGCAUGACCACAGCUGGGUACCAUGGCCCGGGAGGGACCCGAGUGCCUGAGCCCAUGGUACCACAACUGGGAGGGCCAAACAAAUGUGUGUGUUGAUGUCGCUGCAUCCAAAGAUUUCCCCGGCAGGGAGGGACAUUGCUGUCUCGCUGCGGCCUGGAGAGACACCAGAGAGAUGCGCCGACGACCAGAGUUAAGGGUAAAAGGGAGUAAAAUCUUCAAGGAGCGGGGAUGGACGUCUCAGUGCAUGCUGCCCUGGCUGUGCCGAGCGGUGCCCCCAGCUGCAUUCACCCUCCCUGCCCCGACGUCUUGACACGCGGAUAAAAGCCGGGCUGAAGGGACGAUUUCAUGGAGAUUAACCUCACGCGCUGUGCUGGGGCUGCCGCUGCCCUUGACACUGGGUCCCCCAUGUAUCAAAGGUGGAUUACAGAUAUAUUAGCCCCGCCACUGGUUUUAUUAGUGGCGGUUUAUCACAUGGAGGGGGUCAGCCAAGGGCAGGGGACAGAGGAGCCCAGCCACCCUCCGGCGACCCAGAGUAUCACAGAGAGGCCUUAAUUGAAUUUUUGGGAGGAGACCUGGGCUGGGGUCAGUGUUUGCUGCCUGGCCCCGGUACAACUCCCUAAGAUUUGUGGUGCUGAUGGGUGAUGCCUGCGGUGCCCACAGCGAGGGAGAAGGGAAGCCUUUGGCCUCACUGCAGGCAGGGCUGCCCCUAUGCACCACCCUGGGCUGGGUUUAGAGAGAUUUGAUUCAAAAAUAAAUCAAUCCCCUUUGGGAGGCACUCGGACAGCUUCUGCUGGGGAUGGAGAUGCCAGUCCUGUCCUGCCUGGGUGCAUCCCUCUUCAUCCCACACAAAACCUCCCCUGGGCUGGAGGAAUUUGCCUCCUUCGACCCAAACAAAUGCCUUCGAACACUGAGCGUUCCUGUGCGGCACCAGGGUACCCAAACCCAAGGGGGCUCAGGUGGAUGCUGGGAUGCCCGGCAUCGAUGCAACGAGGCACAUCGAGGAGGUGGGGGCAGGAUUUGAGCCUGAAAGAGGUUGAAGUGGGGCAAAGCAAGGGGGAAGAGAAACCUCCCGAACGGGGCGUUUUAAUGACAUUCCAUUAAAGCUCCCUUUGGGGCUGGCACGGCAGCCAUGUGCUCCACAUUCUCAUGGUAAUUAUGAGACAUCUGUAUAGAGGCUCUUUUCUCAUCAAAGAUGGCUCUCUUCAAAGACGCUCCUGGGAAACCCUUCACCUCUGACCGAGGGGGUCACUGCCGAAACAGUGGCUCUAUAGUCCGCGUUACUGUAAAGCCCAGUAUCCUUUUUCCUCCCCUAACCUGACCAGUUCCCGGCUUUUCAGGCACGAUUCGUUGAGCUUGAGAGGGUUGGGGGGGGGGCAGCCACCGGUUUCAGAGAAGGGUCUCCCACACACACCCCACAACCACCACCACUAGUGCCAGUCCUGGGUGCCGUCAUCAUCAUCGCCUGCGCUGACCCCAGGCGCAGGAGGGAGAUCAAAGUAGGAUGAAAAGGCGUUUAAUGAGAGCGGACGGGGCUGAGGGUUUCCUGUCCCCGCACUGGGGAAGGGGCGGCCUCCGCCCCCCACAGUGUCACCCAUCACCACUCUCUGCCUGGUGCGCCCCACCUGGGAAGUGCCAGGUCCCAGGGAGUGAUUUUUGGUGAUUGCCACAAACAACCCCACCGUCCUCCAUGCUGCAGAGGUGACGGGGAUGUG